GGGAGGGGAUAUUUCAGGAGAAUUCCUCAAUGUCCAGGGUGGCAAAGAGCUGGGCAAGGGGAGUGUGUGAGGCCCAGAGCAUAGGAGAAAUUCUGUGGCAGAGACCACCACCGAAAGAAGCCAUACUCUCAACUCCAAGUUCUCCAGUGUUCACUCCUCUUCAGAGAAUACUGCACAGGGACCUUUGCAGGAACAAAGGAGAGGGGCAAAGUCGGGUUAACCUUCUUCGGGCUCACUGGCUAGCGUGUUCUCCGUGCCCAACUCUUGUCAUCAAUUGGAGAGAAGAAAGAAUGUUCUUCUGAAACGUCUGUCCCUUCAGACUCAUGGAGCCUUUAUCUCUUUGGACAUUUGGUUUUCUCAUUCCUGAAGUCAUAGCAA
Molecule: long non-coding RNA, 378 nt
Filed under: Rattus norvegicus (Norway rat)
Lineage: Eukaryota; Metazoa; Chordata; Mammalia; Rodentia; Muridae
Description: long non-coding RNA NONRATT013503
Source: RNAcentral